CUGCAGCAGCGCACUGAAGUGGUUAUAGUGCUUGGAUUGUUGCUUUAAACCUCCAUUCUGGCUCCUGCUCUUUGGGCUUAAGUUUGGAAAAGGUAAUUUUUCAGUCACGCAGAGUGGCGGCUCAGUGAAUUCGCCCCAUAAUUCAUGUCCAGAGAGGUGACAAAUUUGGAUCUUGGAAACUGAUGUGGUUAUUAUACCGGAG
Molecule: non-coding RNA, 202 nt
Organism: Pelobates cultripes (western spadefoot toad)
Lineage: Eukaryota; Metazoa; Chordata; Amphibia; Anura; Pelobatidae
Source: the annotation of a GenBank genome assembly